RNAcentral lists this ribosomal RNA (478 nucleotides) under uncultured bacterium. RNAcentral's name for it is "partial 16S ribosomal RNA". It matches the Rfam family "Bacterial small subunit ribosomal RNA", at positions 28 to 507 of the family's 1533-position model. The record is from RNAcentral.
GAUGAACGCUGGCGGCGUGCUUAACACAUGCAAGUCGAACGGGAAACCUUUUAAUGAAGCGUCGGCAGGUUUCGCUGGUUUCUAGUGGCGGACGGGUGAGUAACGCGUGGGUAACCUGCCUUAUACAGGGGGAUAACAGUCAGAAAGGACUGCUAAUACCGCAUAAGCGCACGGGACCGCAUGGUCCGGUGUGAAAGGCUCCGGUGGUAUAAGAUGGACCCGCGUUGGAUUAGCUUGUUUGUGGGGUAACGGCUCACCAGGGCGACGAUCCGUAGCCGGCCGGAGAGCGUGAAAGGCCACAUUGGGACUGGGACACGGACCCGACUACUAGGCGAGGCAGCAGUGGGGAAUACUGCACAAUGGAGCCAACUCUGAUGCAGCCACGCCGCGUGAAAGAGGAAGUGUCUAGGUAUGUAAACUUCUAUGAGCAGGGACGAUAGUGACGGUACCGGACUAAGAAGCACCGGCUAACUACGUG